RNAcentral lists this long non-coding RNA (1219 nucleotides) under Anser brachyrhynchus (Pink-footed goose). Its description in RNAcentral is "lncRNA (ENSABRG00000015076.1)". The record is from RNAcentral. Lineage: Eukaryota; Metazoa; Chordata; Aves; Anseriformes; Anatidae.
NNNNNNNNNNNNNNNNNNNUGGGAGCGCCGGUGCUGGGCACUGGGGGCACUGGUGCUGGGUUCUGGUACUGGGCCUGCAGGCAAUGGGAGCAGUGGUGUGGGGCACUGGGAGCACUGGUGUUUGGCUCUGGGGGUACUGGGAGCACAGGUGUUGGGCGCUGCAGGCACUGGGAGCACUGGUGCUGUGCACUGGUAGUACUGGGAGCACUGUUGCUGUGCACUGAUGGCACUGGGGGCACUGGGAGCUAUGGUACUGAGCUCUGCAGGCACUGGGAGACACUGGUGUUGGGCCCUGCAGGCACUGGAGGCACUGGGAGCACUGGUGUUGGGCUCUGGGGGCACUGAAGCUGUGCACUUGGGGCACUGGGAACACUGGGAGCACUGGUGUUGGGCCCUGCAGGCACUGGGAGGCACUGGGAGCACUGGCACUGAGCUCUGCAGACACUGGGAGCACUGGUGUUGGGCCUUGCAGGCACUGGGAGCGCUGGAGGCACUGGGAGAACUGGUCCUGGGCACUGGGAGCACUGGUACUGGGCUCUACAUGUACUGGGAGUACUGGGAGCACUGGAGCAGUGCACUGGUGGCCCUAGGAGCACUGGUGCUCUGCUCUGGGAGCACUGGUGCUGGGCACUGCAGGCACUGGGAGCACUGGUGUUGGGCCCUGCAGGCACUGGGAGCACUGGAGCUGUGCACUGGGAAGCACUGGGAGCACUGGUGGUGGGCACUGGGAACACUGGAGCUGUGCACUGGUGGCACUAGGUGUACUGGGAGCUCUGGAGCUGUGCACUGGGAAGCACUGGGAGCGCUGGUAUUGGGCCCUGCAGGCACUGGGAGCACUGGUGUUCGGCUCUGGGGACACUGGGGACACUGGAGCUGCGUACUGGUGGCACUGGGAGCACUGGCGUUGGGCCCUGCAGGCACUGGGAGCACUGGCGUUCUGCUCUGGGGGCACUGGUGCUGGGCACCGGGAACACUGAAGCUAUGUACUGGUGGCACUGGGAGCACUGAUACUGGGCUUUGGGGACACUGGGAGCACUGAUACUGGGCCUUGGUGACACUGGGGGCACUGGGGCUGCGUACUGGUUACACUGGUGGCACUGGCUCCCCUCAGGCCCCGUCACGGCGCGCAGGCCGCGUCCCCUUUAAGCCCCACCCCCCCACACACCUCAACCCCUCCCCGCGCCGCGCAGCGCCGUGACGUCACGCGGGGCGCAGCGGC